This 490-nucleotide ribosomal RNA is filed under the name uncultured bacterium. RNAcentral's name for it is "partial 16S ribosomal RNA". It matches the Rfam family "Bacterial small subunit ribosomal RNA", at positions 30 to 507 of the family's 1533-position model. The record is from RNAcentral.
AUUGAACGCUGGCGGCAGGCCUAACACAUGCAAGUCGAACGGUAACAGGAAGCAGCUUGCUGCUUUGCUGACGAGUGGCGGACGGGUGAGUAAUGUCUGGGAAACUGCCUGAUGGAGGGGGAUAACUACUGGAAACGGUAGCUAAUACCGCAUAACGUCGCAAGACCAAAGAGGGGGACCUUCGGGCCUCUUGCCAUCGGAUGUGCCCAGAUGGGAUUAGCUAGUAGGUGGGGUAACGGCUCACCUAGGCGACGAUCCCUCGCUGGUCUGAGAGGAUGACCAGCCACACUGGAACUGAGACACGGUCCAGACUCCUACGGGAGGCAGCAGUGGGGAAUAUUGCACAAUGGGCGCAAGCCUGAUGCAGCCAUGCCGCGUGUAUGAAGAAGGCCUUCGGGUUGUAAAGUACUUUCAGCGGGGAGGAAGGGAGUAAAGUUAAUACCUUUGCUCAUUGACGUUACCCGAAGAAGAAGCACCGGCUAACUCCGUG